CGGGACUACAGGCGCCUGUGCAAUCUCUAUGGUAACCACAUUUCCCAGCUGUCUACUACCGGUAAUAAAAUCAAAUGGAUUCAGUGCUCACAACUCUUCAGUCUUCGGGCUACUUUCCAUUCUUGAGUUUUUAGCUGAAUUCAUCUCUUUGGCUGGAUUUUAUGAAUCGGGCAGCCGUUAGAACCAAAACAGUUCUGAGGAACUCCCAGGCUGCAGUGUGGUGUGAAAUGUUUUAUGCACAGAAAAUGGAAAUGAGGUGCAGAAACUGGAGGGCAGAGAGUUAUAUUUUUCAUCUUCAUGUUGAGUAGAAAAUCCAUGAAAAUCUAAUACCCAGUUAUCACUCAAGUGUGACAAAUAGAAAGGAGCUUCAGAAUAGGAUCUUCAGUUCUACCAAAUGUCUCUGCCUAAUUACAUCAAUAUCCAUGUUGAUGAAAUUUCAGUCUUUAUUCAAGAUCAAGUGCAACUGUCUCUUUGAGGAAAGUCCUUUGACCCCCAUUUCUCCCCUUCAGAAGGCAAGCACCUGGGGGAGAAGAUCUGCUUAAGGACCUCGUAACUGACAAAGAAUGGAAUGGGAGCGAGAACUGCCUAGCCAUCCCUUCUCCUUGCACAGUCAUGAAACAAAGUUGAAAAGGAGCCUGGUUUUACUUGACCAGUCAUAAAUUACCAUAAAAUAAAAUGAGAUACUAGG
RNAcentral lists this long non-coding RNA (688 nucleotides) under Pan troglodytes (chimpanzee). RNAcentral describes it as "long non-coding RNA NONPTRT016635". Lineage: Eukaryota; Metazoa; Chordata; Mammalia; Primates; Hominidae. The record is from RNAcentral.